Molecule: long non-coding RNA, 11694 nt
Organism: Tympanuchus pallidicinctus (lesser prairie-chicken)
Lineage: Eukaryota; Metazoa; Chordata; Aves; Galliformes; Phasianidae
Exons: 6
Source: RefSeq, a predicted model, not a curated record
AAAACUCCUGGUGGUUACUGCCUGCUAAGACCCAUAGCCCGCAAUGGGAACAGGCUGCCUGCCAGACUUUCUCCACUAUCCCAAGAUAUAAUAUAGGGUUUUCUUAUCUCCAGGUAUGAUUUCCUGCUGUGUUUUUUUUCUCCUUCGGGGAAGGCUCACUAGAUGGCACUGUGUUCCUGCUGGACAAGCCACCUUUGCUUCUAGGGUAGGUGAAAGGCAUCAUUGCCUUUGUCUUUACUUUCAUCUGUCUGCCUUCAGUCUUUACCAGCGGGGGGGGGGGGAAUUGGGUAUUCAUUAAUAAAAUGUGCUUUAGUACAGUUUCCCAUUCCAGCUUCAGGAGCCCUGAAUCAUUUGCCCAAGGGAAUCUCUAGUUAGAAUAAUACACUUUAUAUUACAUGAUUUUCUACUUUGUUCUUUCGGUGUGCUUCUCUCUUCCUGUUACUGCCCAUGCAGCAGGCUUGGAAGGCAUAGAGAAAAGUGGGACUGCAAGUUUAGCGCAAGACUAAACUUUCUCAAAUGUGGAUGUUGCCUUGCAAGUUUGGAAAACAAAUCAAAAUACUGUAUGGAUCAUUGAGCAGUCGGAAUGGAGUAAUCUUCCUUCUCUGCUGAUCUGUGACACAAGGGUAACUUGUACCAACUGGAGAGCGCGUAUAUGGAAUCUUGGUGACAUAUACAUCUGCUACAAAAAGGAGACGUUAAUGAUCACUUCGUUGAGGCAUUUGAACUGUCUGAGCAAAGCAGAGCGAUGCUGGGUGGCACCACUUUGUGCACAUUGCCCUACCUGCUUUCCCUACAUGCCCCUCCAGCGUGCCUCCCAUAGAGAAAGAGGUGGAAGGCUUGCCUGGUUGCCAAGGGCACAGUGCUCCAGAAGAGCUAGUAAAGGGUAAGCAUAAUGACUGUCUGGGAAAUGGAAAUCUCAUGAUUUACAAAAUAAGGUUCAAGAAAAGCAACAGAUUUGGGUCUCCACUUCCCCAUUCUGCCAGUGCUGGUCAGAACAGAGGCUACCUGCAAAGGGGCUCACAGGACUUGUUGACUCAGAAACAGGCUUCUGAAUUUUCCUUACUUCAUAUUGGUUCUUUCACAACUGGACUGAUAACUUCUAUGAACCUGGCUGAUGAGAGAUGAUUUUUUUCACAUGAAUCACUGAAAUCUCUUCACCUGCUAACAGCUCUGGAUGUCUGCUGACUUCAAGCUGAGUCAGUAACUAAGAACAAAAUGUUCUGGUUCCCCUCUCAUAGGAUCCUUGCAUUCCUCUUUCCUUUGUGUAAUGUGCAGUUAGGCAUAGAAGUAAGUACUUUUACAGUUAGUAGUACUGCACAUCAAUUGCCAAUCAGAGCAGGUAUAUUUAUUACUACAUACAGUUGCUUUAAAAGGCAAAUUACAGUUUGUUUAGUUCUCACUGACCUCAUAGCCACUGCUUGUUAAAAAUGUAAUGCAUGUGUUUAAUAUGUGAAACAAGUUCAGUAGCAUAUAAUUUGGAUGACACGUAAAUCUUGUUUUUAUAUGAGAACUAAAGUAAUUCAAAUGGUUCCUUUCACUGGAGCUUCUCAUACACUAUCUUGUCUAUCCAGGAAAGCUAAUCCUUAGGAGAUUUACAGUGUUUAAGGUGGUUUCCAGGUUUUUAUUGAGCAGAUCUGUGGAAAAAAAAAAAUAAAAUAAAAUAGUGGUCUCAUUUGAUCUUAAAAAUAUGCCUUAACUUUUAUGUUAGCAUCAAGACAGGAUUCAAUGGAAAAUUAACCAGAGCUUUUGAGUCUAAUACUCUAUCCACGUAGGGAAAAAUAUUUUUGUCAUUUGUGCAAUGUAAUCUGGAGUAGAUUGGUAUGCAAUAAGAUCUUUAGGAUAUGCCUAUAGUUUCUUUUUUUCAGCUAGUCUGAAGCUCUCAUGUCUGGAUUAAGUAAGGGUAAGACUGGAAUACAGAUAUACUGUCACUUUAGCAUCAUUUAUUUGAAACUAUCUGCUGGACAUGUUGGUAAAUUAAAGAAAACAGAACUGCAGUGCCAAAUGCCACAUCUUAAUCUGAGUGUCACUGGUCCUCACCAUGUCCCUUCAGAAGUCUCCAGCUCCAGUUCUUCAGUUGUUUCAGUCCAUAGCCUUUUCUCAAGAACAGCUGGGAUUUAUGUCACUUCCUUAUGUGACCAAGCCAUUAGGAAUCAUACGAAUGUAAGCUUUCCUUCUUUAUUUUUUUUUUUCUCAGUUGGUCAGAAGUGAGAACUUCUCAAAAUAUUGAAGCUUGUUCUUUGAAACAAAAAGGUGGUGCAAGACGAAUAGCAGAAGCCUUUGGUUCUACUCUGCCUUGUCAACCAUAGAAAUCAAAUUCUGGGUCUCCAGUGGAGAAAAACUGUUGUAUCAAAGAAAAAGAUACAGUGGAACAUACUAAAAACUCUUCCUACCAAAACUAUUUUUUGUGAAUUUUUAAAAAAAUGUCAUUUUUUCAGCUAUUCUGUCUUUAAAUACCAUAAAUUUCAUGCAGCUGCAGUCGUAGCAAUAUUCAGAGCUCAUCUUGUGCAUUUUUCUGUUUGUCUCAGAUAGUUUGAAAGCAAAGUGACUACAGUUACUGCCAUUUUACAGAUGGAAGAGAUGCAGCAUGUAAGAAGCAUGUAUGAUUUUGACUGUGUCAGGCACUGAGUGACAGGUCAGUGAUGUGUCUUCUGCAUCUGACAGCACACACUUUGGGGAAGAACUGUAACACCACAGUUCUUUCCAGAAAUGAGACGCAAGCAACAAAGUCAUGACUGCACAGACACUUUGGAGUGUAAAAUGCAAUUACUUUUGCCCUUUUAAGAUGGAGAUCUCUUGCCUUCUCACUUCUCUUGAACUAUCUAUCUUUCUUCAAAGCCUGCAAAACUGAAAGCUUAAAACUUUGGGUAGACUUUUAGGAAAGGAAAAGAAAAAGAACUGACAAAGAUGAAGUCUGUUUUCGGAGGAAUCUAGAGAUAACCCUGCUGGAGGGGCUCUUCUUUGUACUACAGUAAUAGCUUUGUUUAUAAAGAAUGACUAGUGCAGUAGACAUGGGGUCAGUGUUGAAGCUGGUGUUUCUUUUAGCUAAUCUCCAGCUCUCCCACAUGCCAAAUUGACCUGUUUGGGAUAUGAAGCUCAUUUAUCUUUAUGGGAGAAUAAAGGACAGGACUGGGGAGGAAUUUAUCAUCCUUUUAAAAUACUCUAUUUCCUGAUAAUGAUGGCAGGGGCUAACACCAAAUAGAGCAAAUGCAGUUUCCCAUUAUAAAGCCAUUGGAACAGAUUUCUUCCAUAAUUCUGAAAUACAAAUAUCAAAAUUAGAGUAGAUUCUGAGUCAAAACUUCACUACAUUUGAAGUGAAGGCAGAGGGGACUGACGAGUGGGUCAGGAAUUUAUGACUCAUAUCAGUAACUUCUGUUUUGUUAAAAUAAAUCAGUAACAGAUACUGAUAAGAUCAUAGUUGAUUGUCAGUGUAACUUUUGCAAUUCAUAUUUGGCAAUUCUUCACCUGCUGUUUUGUUUUUUUUUUUUUUUAAAGUUUGAAUUUAUCAAAUACACCUUCUUUACUGGAUGGAUUCUCUUCACCUGAGCAGACUUUAGUGUUGAAAACGUUUGCCUUGUUGGAGAUAUUCUUCAGAAUAUCAGAACUUCAGAACUCUCAGUGCAUAUGCAAAGGCUUUGUUUGCUACUUGUGAAAUGGCUUCUGAAUUAUACAUGCUAUUUUUCACCUCAGAUUGUCUGGACCUUUCACCUCACAGUGUAUGGACCUUAAAGAGACUUUUUAAGAUCUCUGCCUGCAUUUAAGCACAUUGUAUGGUCUUGACUGGCAUGGAUGUCCCUCUUGAUUUUCUUAUAGCUUCUGUGCUAAAAAUCUUGUCAGAUUUGUUAAUACUCAUUCCAAAUGACCAUAGCUGGGACCUGGUGAAGCUAAACUCUAUUUGUUACCACUAUUUAUGCUAAUACAAAUCAAAUUCUGACAUUGUUUCUUUAAAAUUUUCUUUCAGUACAGCUGAAAGACCCGAGGAUUGGGCGCAAAUGACCUCUUUGGGGUGGUAAGUGACUUUGCAAGCAGGGGUUUGGAAGUGCCUGGAAGGAGGAGAAGGCAUCUGUGCCCUUUAAAAAAGCAAGACAAGAGAAGAAGGCUUUCAGACCCCUCUUCUGUUGCCUUGUUUAGUCAUGGCUGGAUUAGGAUAUUAUAAACUCAAGGAAUGGUGUAUGUUGUGUUCUGAACUAGAUAGUUAGAAGCUCAUGCAGUCACUGCUGGGCUUAUGUUUCUAACAAUAUCAGAGUGACAGCAGAUUAUUUUUUUUAAGUCCAUACCACUUCCCAUGUUGUCCCUGCCCAGGAAGGUGGUGGAGGCACUGACCCAAGAGGUGUUCAAGAAAUGUUUGGACGUUGUGUUGAGGGACAUGGUUUAGUGAGAACUACUGGUGAUCGGUGGAUGGUUGGACUGGGUGAUCCCAUGAGUCUUUUCCAACAUUGGUGAUUCCAUGAUUUUAUGAUUACUGCUGUAGCAUGCUGGUAGUGGUCUACCAGAUAGAUGGAAAGAAGAAAACUUUUAUAUCUGCAUAUAUAUAAAAUAAAAUAGAAAAUUAUACAGGAAACAAAGCAAAUAAUGGGUUAUAAAAAAGAAAAAAAAUUAGAAACAAUGAAGAACAUAAAAUAUUAGCAGAAUUUUGAAAAUUAGGAGUUGCAUGGAGAUAAAGGUUUGGAAGACAAAAGAACUGUACUGCACAGUGCCAUUUUUACACACUAUAUACAAGCUAGUGCUAUCUUGUAUCAAAACAGCACUGUGAGUUAGAACAAAGCUAACUGAGAAAUCCUAGAAGGCACUGGGAGAGAAGAAGACAUUCAGAAUUUUUUUUCAUCUCUAAGUGGGGUAGUAUCAGGACAACCACUAGACUCAAACUAGUGCUCAUAUUUAGAAACAAUCUAAGUUCAUUACUGAGAAAAUGUGAAGAUAACAGUGAUCAGCAGACUGGUAAAUUGAGAGGAUGAGGCAACUGAUGGAGUGAUCAUGAUCUCAUGAUAAGCAAGGACGUUCAAAUGUGUUUUUGAAUGAAAGCCUAUAAUCUGGGAACAAAGAAAGCUGGACACAACUGCAGAACAUGGGCUUCGGCUCUGGAGAGGUGCCUGAACUGACAUUUCAGCAGUUGCCCUCUGCAGAAAGCUGCAACUAAGGCAAGUCUGGGUUGUACAGAAGAGCAGGACCAGGAAGAUAGUUUCUCCCUUUGUAACAGCACUGCUGGGUGGUGGUAUUCAACAACAGAAACUGUUUUUCGAAAGGAAGAAUGAGAAAUUGGAGACAAAACAGAAGGAAAGCAUAAAUAUGAUUUGAAGGUUGAAGAAUAUUUCCCACAGGUGAAAAUAGAAAAGUGCUAAAAGAAGGUCUGAGGUGAUUUAAUUACAGCACAUAACAAAUACAAAGAGGUACAGAACAGGAAGGCAGCAUGGUGAAGGCUUAGCAGCUGAUCUUGGACAACUCUGAAGGAGGAAUAAUCCUUUAAUGAGAUAGAUAAAACUUCAGGACAAGAUAGGAAGUGGUUUAACUAUCCUUUAGAGCCUUCAGAUCAAACCCUAAUGCCGAUUUCUGUUGGCAAGUUCAAGAAAGAAAUGUAAACACAUGUGAUAUAAUAGGAGGAAGAUCAAACAACCUAGUGCUCCCAUUAGGAGCUAAUGGAGUGGUAUAUCUAAACUCCCCCAUGAUUGCACAGUUCAUGAGAACUUUUCAAAUUUUAGAAAGUUGGUCCUGUGUAUUAUUUUCAUGUUCACUGGAGUUGUAACAUACAUUGCAAACCAUAUCUUUUGUGAUCCUAAUUAUGAAAGCAAUCAGGAGAAACAACUUUAAUGCAGUGUCUGAAAAAUAUUAAAAAUUACUAUGUGCUGAGUUAUUUCAUAUGAAUAUAGUAAGCACCACAAUGAUUGCUGGAAUUAGUGGUAAUUAAUAAUCCUUGUGACAUUCUAAGAGGACAGAAGAGAUAAUGAAAAAAAUUAUACUUCUUUGGAUAGCAACACCAAGACAGUCACAAUGAGGUCUAUUAAGAGAACAUCUUCUGGAACACAGCAGCUCUGGGACUUGACUCUGUGGCCACUGUAGUGGUAAAUGUAUCCUGCUGUCUCAUUACUAUUUUGGAAAAUGCUACAAAAAUUCCAUGCUUUUGGGGUGAUUUGUUGCGCAUAUACUAAGAACAGCUGAAGAAACAGAUUAAUAAUUACAAACAUGAACUAAACCCUGAAAAUUCCCCUAUUUCCUUCAAUUUAAACAUGUUACCAUGUACUGAGGAAUUAAGAGGAACUCUCAUAUGUGUUAAAUAAAACCUAUGCAAGUCCUGAAUCUUGUUUGUAUAUGUGUAUAUGUGGCUAUAUAUGAUGCAGCACACAUGCAUAGUGAUCUGCAAGCAUAGAUAUAAAUGUUCCGGCCAAAGUGGAAAAGAUAUUAAAACAAAGUCACAUAUGAAAGUGCAAAAAACCAAAACAAACAAAAAAAAUCUUUUUCAGCAUGGCACUGUGUUUAUGAAACACAGAAAUGCAUUCCUUGUAUGUGGAAUUUACCUGCUGUUAUGGGUGGACAUAAGAUCUGUAAAUGGCAAGGUGUGGUUUCCUUGCAUUGUUUGGGGGAGUGUCUGUUUGGACAGAUUUAAAACAGUGAUCCAAAAGUUUGACAGUAGCAGCAUGAAAACAUGUUUUUCAAAAAUGAUAGGCAUGUUUCUGCUAUUCUGGUACAUUCCAUGCUUCUGAUUCAAAGGAAUACAAACAAACAAACCUUCAUUAAGCUAUUGCAUACCUAGGCAAAGUAAAAUGCUUUCUAAUUUACUUGUGUGCUAAGACAAUGGAAUUUGUAAGAGGCUUUUUGAAGAAAAGGUCAAUGCAGUAAAUUUAGGGUUUAUAUAUAUUUGAGUGUUGCAUCUUGUAAAGUGUGUUUCUAUAUGACACAGGUAGGUAACUCUUGAUAAUGUUCUAUGGCAGAAAUAUGGUUUCUCUAUGAACAUCUUUUUUCUUUUUUUCCCAGUUAGUAUUCUGUACUAGAAAUAUCAAGUUCCAAUUUAGCUUUAUUGACUUUGGCAGCAUUUGGAGAAAAUCUAUCAGAUAACAUCAUUUGUAUCCAAAACUUCUGAAGAACUUUUCUUAUUGUCCUCAAGGACUUACGAAAGGGAAUGUGGAGCUGGGCUCCCACUCAAUGAUGCCACACGUGUUUUGCAUGUGUAUGAGGUAUGGCUAAGUCAGAGGCCUAGAGGAGGUAAGGAAGGAAGCAGGGUAUGUCUGGAUGCACUACAUAGCACUUGAAACAGACAAGCAGGCAGCUUCCAUCUUGUCAUUUUGGUUAUAACCACCACCGUGACCAUCCAGCCACAAGCUGCGUAUAUCUUCUACAGACUUAGAAUCCAAAAGAAGUUUUGCUGUAAUUGUGCCAGUGGUAUUCAUCUCUGUGGUUUUAACAUGCUUCAUGAAUGUUGUUUGUAGGUAGUGGUAUCAGUCUGAACCUGGGAAAGAUUCACCCCCUUAUUAAAAACAAAAACCAAAAUAAACAAACAAAAAAACCCCCAAGAAUACAGAAUCUUUAUCUAUGGUUCAGAGAGUUUACAACUGAGUCCAUGCCAAUCCUCCUGUUGUGUGUGAUGAAGAGAAUUGUGUAGAUGCAGUGCUGCUGUCUGGAAACAAAAAAAUCUCUGAAGUUAUGAAACACACACAACAUACAUUCACUUCAGGUAGUAUUAGGCAUUUAGAUCCUUUUACAGACAGAAUACAGAGAUGAUAGGAUGUUGUUUGUAAGGAUACUCAGGCAUUGGUCUUCUCAGUGUUGCAAUGCCUAAUUGACUAUUAUUUUGUUUCAAAAAUGGCUUGAGAUUCUAAAGCUGAGGUUUAAAAGGAACUGAAGCACUUAAGUCAGAGUAAUGUCUAAUUCCUUCUUAUUUAUCCAAUAUCUUUCUAAUGCAAGAUGCAAAAAUUGUCACAGAUGUAAAGACUGAAAUAUAAAUUUUCUUAUUCAUGCUUUGAAGAAUACCAAUUCCAUCUUCUUCCUUUGCUGUUUUUACAUCAAAGAGUCUUGUAUUUUUUGCUUUAUGAUUACAGAGCUUCUGUAGGGAGUUGGAAAUGUUUUUGUCUUGGUGACAGAAGACAUGGGGUUGCAUCCUGUUAAGUGUAAAAAAACCCUAACUCUUGAAAAUUGAGUCAAAUAAUGUAUGAUUGAACAGACUCAUGUCUCUAGAGACAACUCUAGAUAGUUAAAGAUAAAUAAGUCAAUCUCUACAAGCUUCAGGCUUACUUGAUUUGCCUUGCAUACAUAUACUUGGUAAGUGGGUAAAAUGGUACUCAGUCGAAGAAUAAUGAAUUCACCCUGAACCUCCAAAGUUUUAGGUGAAUGCUGUUAAAAUUUGAAAAUUUUCUCUUGAUUUAAAACAGAUUUUAAUGUGCUUGAAUAUACUGAAAAGAAUUCAUGGGCCCGUGUAAAGUUUCUAAUGGUCAAUAGUAUUUGAAAUAUUAAAAUGUAACUCCUCUCUUUUCAUAAAAUUUCCUAAGAUUUGUUGAAUAAUGCUGCAAGCUGGAAAAUCUACAUACGUGUUUCUGAAUUCACUGUGUAAUUAGUUAAUUGAAACACUGUAGCGCAUAACAUUUAAUCCAAUUCCCUCAUCUCUUAAGAUUUAAUAUCAAGAUCUCUCUGAUGGAAAUAAUUAUGAAAACAAUCCAUCUUCACGCUGACCUGAAAUAUCGUUGAGAGAACACUGUGAUAGGUUUGUUCGGUUCUUAUUUCUUCCUGAUCAUGUGGAAUUUCUACAGCACCACUGCAAGAGUUUUGACAUUUGAAUGAUUUCAGGUAACUGCAAAGAUAAGAAAACUUCUCAAAAUAUAGGUUGUACUAAUUCUAUAUUAAAACUGACAAUUCAAUUUCAAGCCCACUUACAACUGGUUAAAUCACUGGUUACUGUCUUUGCUUUUUUCAAAUCAAAGCUUCUUCAGACAUAGUUACUUAUUAAUUUUUUACAAUAAUGCAGAGAAUAUAUAGAGAAACUUCAGAUACCUUUCUGGUUGAGAUCCAUACAUGAUGUAUAGAUCAGAUCCUGCUCCAAAGGGCUUUCAGUGACAGUAAAUUAGACAAACUUGCCCAAGACUGCGUAGAAACAGCUUUCCUUCCUCCUGUUCCAUUGUUACUGCAACAGAUCACACAGUAUCCAUUGCCUUGCAACUUACCAUAGAAAAAAAAAAAAAAAAAAAAAAAAAAAAGAAAAUGAAAAAAACCUUCCUCCUUUACUCAUUUCUAUGAAGAGUCUCUCAAGAAAAUGGAACAAUUAGUCCUGUUUCAUAGCUGAAGACUGGACUAGAUCAAAUCACAGGGAUCUGUUUAGGUUGUAUACUGUCUGGCUUGUCACAUCUUCUCUUUCCUUUGAGACAGACAUACUUUGAAAGAGUAUGUUAGGUUCCAGAAUCUAUGCCUUGCCUUGGCAUCCUGUAUUUGUGUGUGUAUGUAUGUGUGGGAAGGGAGAUUACUUUAUUAAUUGUAAGAAAAUAUCCUUCAGGGAUUAUGCUAAAUUAUACUUUUUUUGCAACCCCUGAGAGAGGGCAUUUCAGAUGAUAUCCAGUGACGUGCCUAACAUGGCUUUUGCUGGUCCAACAUAUCAUCUAUUCCUCUUUCAAAUAAGGCUAAUAUUGUCACAAAAGUAGACCACAUCAAUGUCACAGUAAACCUCCUCAAUGAGGCAAGGCCAGUAGUUUGACUCUGUACUCCUCUCUGGACUAAAGUUUAUAGAGAGUAAUUAGAACUGCAAGGUGGUGUUGCUACAUUGGCAUUAUGCUGUCUUCAGUUCAAGAAAAGGUACAUUGUAAUAGAUUUUACUAACUUGAGUGUUGGACUUGCCCUGAUGUGCUGAUGUUACUUCUUGUCUGUGUGUCAGCUCUGGCUCUCGGCAAGGUAUUUCAUUGCAUGAUGCUAACCUGUGGCAGUAACUCCUCUGAGAGGCAAUUAUUCACCACGUUUAUGUGACCCCUUUUUACAUUCCUAUUUGUUCUUCCCUGAGCUAUCUUAUUUAAAAUAUUGAUGUUGCAGCAACAUAGUGGGUUUCCCUGGCAUGGAAAUUGAAAUUUUCAAUCACUGAACAGCAUGAUAAGUUUCAUUUUGCUUAAGCUGAAAGUGUAAUGAGGAACAUCUUAUUUCUCAGCAAAGAUUGAUUUGUCUCCUAUAUGUGGGUAAGCAAAUUUAUUAUAUAUGAAUAUAAUGUAACACCGUUGUGAGAAUUUGAAUACCAGCCUUAUAUCAGCUGCUGAAUAAUCACUCUUUGCUUUAUUUAGCAUGGCAUAGUUUGUUUGUCCUUUUCUGCACAUAAAAGACUGAACUGGCUGUGCUAAUUCCAGUUAUGGGUACACAGGGACAUUGGAAAGACAGAGAGGAGGUGGAAAACUUCAAGAGGUGCUCUGAAAGUAGAGACUCCUAUUUUGUUACAUUGGCCCAUGGCGUCAGAGGUGGAUGUUGGUGGUAUGACAGUAGAGGCUGAACUUUGCCUGCAACAUUCCAUUACAAGUUGCUGCUGUGUGACAUAUGGCAGCAGAGGGGCAGUCUGACACAAUGGCAUCUGACAUGGAAGUGUAUACGAAGCAAAUGUGUGCUACUGAAUUCUUUCAUGAAGAAAAAAUGGCACCCAUUUACAUUCACUAGUGCUUGAUGAGCAUUAAAGGAAAACAAAGAAUGAAUGUUAGCACAUUGAGGUGGUGGGUGGUACAUUUCAGCAGUGAUGACAGAGAUGUGAAAGACAAGCCAUGUUCUGGAUGGCCUUGCACAGCAAAAUGAAAAGCAUCCUGAUCAGCUCAUCCACACAAAUUGGCAGAUUUUGCGGGGGGAUUGUGUACAGAGCUGAAUAUCAGCUUCAAUGCAUUGAAAAUGAUGGUGGCAAUAUUGGAAUUUUGCAAAGUAUGUUCCAAGUUGAUCACAUGAAUUCAGAAAAAGCAGAAAAAGCACUAUAUGCAAGUUUGUCUGGACCUACUGAACCAAACAGAGAGGAAGUUGACAGUUUCCUGGUGUUACCACUAUGAGCUGGACUCAAAAUGGCAGUCUAUGGAGUGGUGAUUUGAAUUCCCCGUCAAAGGAAAUACUCAUGAUGCAAAUCUCAGCAAGUAAAGCGAUGUGCACAUUCUUUUGGGAUAGGAAAGGGGUGAUCCUUCUGGAUUUUCUCAAACCCAAACAAACCAUCAACUCUGACCACUAUGUUGUGACACAGACUAAAGAUGAAGGCUCUGACUUCCACAGUAAGCCAGAGAAGAAGACAGUCUUUCUUUCAACACAGUAAUGCCAGUACCCAUACCAAUUUGAAAACUGCAGAACACACUGCCAGUCUUGACUUGACUGUUCAACCACACCUACUGUACAGACCAGAUUUUUCAGCUCCUGUCUUUCAGCUGUUUGGACCAGUGAAAGAUGGCAACAUUUUCCUAGCGACAAUGCCAUCAUAGCAGCUCUGAAACUGUGGGUCACCUCUGCUUGUGGAGAUUUUUAUGAGCGUGGCACGCAGGCUCUUGUUCAUCUCUGACAAAAAUGCAUAGCUAAUGGUGGUGACUAUUUUAAAGAAAAAAAACAACUCUUCUGUAGCUGAAAACUUGCUCUAUCAGAGAGUGUUAUUGUGUGCUUUGUAUCUGUUGUAUUUUCCAUGGAAUAAAUAAGAGGCAUUAUUUUCAAAAUUAUCUACACAAAUCUGUAGCUACUUUUGUUCAUAUGGAGAUAAAACUUAAUUAAGAGAUUGUUUAUAUGAAAAUCAAA